This 482-nucleotide ribosomal RNA is filed under the name uncultured bacterium. Its description in RNAcentral is "partial 16S ribosomal RNA". It matches the Rfam family "Bacterial small subunit ribosomal RNA", at positions 30 to 507 of the family's 1533-position model. The record is from RNAcentral.
AUUGAACGCUGGCGGCAUGCUUUACACAUGCCAGUCGAACGGCAGCGCGGGGCAACCUGGCGGCGAGUGGCGAACGGGUGAGUAAUACAUCGGAACGUACCCAGAAGUGGGGGAUAACGUAGCGAAAGUUACGCUAAUACCGCAUACGUUCUACGGAAGAAAGUGGGGGACCUUCGGGCCUCAUGCUUUUGGAGCGGCCGAUGUCUGAUUAGCUAGUUGGUGAGGUAAAGGCUCACCAAGGCGACGAUCAGUAGCUGGUCUGAGAGGACGACCAGCCACACUGGGACUGAGACACGGCCCAGACUCCUACGGGAGGCAGCAGUGGGGAAUUUUGGACAAUGGGCGCAAGCCUGAUCCAGCAAUGCCGCGUGAGUGAAGAAGGCCUUCGGGUUGUAAAGCUCUUUUGUCAGGGAAGAAACGGCUGAGGAUAAUACCUUCGGCUAAUGACGGUACCUGAAGAAUAAGCACCGGCUAACUACGUG